AAAGAAAACAAGGAAAAAUAAUGAAUGGAAGCCUUCGACUGGUUCCUCAAGCAAAGGAAAUAGUACUAACAAAUCAAAUAAUGAAUGGAAGCCUUCCCUGAAACUAGGCAUUUUUCCAGGUCCAUUGCGAUCUCCAACUUUUGUUUUGGAGCACUCUGGGCAGCUGUUUUUCCAAUAUAAUUUAGGUAGUUUAUCCUGAUUUCUGUUUUCUUCUCUUGAUCUGAAGUCUUUCAUUUUCAUUCAUUUGUUGAGUUUACUUAACCUUCCCUCUUCUGUUUUUUGGUCUUGCAAUUAUAGAUGGCAAACAGCUGCUCAUGCUGCAGACAAUUUAAUAACAUCCUUGUUGCCUGAUAGGUGGUUGAAAAAGAAAAAGAAGAGAAAAAGAAAAAA
Pistacia vera is the source of this 390-nucleotide long non-coding RNA. RefSeq lists it as uncharacterized. The transcript is spliced from 3 exons. The record is from RefSeq and is a predicted model, not a curated record. Lineage: Eukaryota; Viridiplantae; Streptophyta; Magnoliopsida; Sapindales; Anacardiaceae.